Molecule: ribosomal RNA, 253 nt
Filed under: uncultured bacterium
Lineage: Bacteria
Description: partial 16S ribosomal RNA
Rfam family: Bacterial small subunit ribosomal RNA
Source: RNAcentral
UACGUAGGGAGCGAGCGUUGUCCGGAAUCAUUGGGCGUAAAGAGCGUGUAGGCGGCCCGGAAAGUCUGGUGUGAAAUCUUGAGGCUCAACCUCAAGCUGUCACUGGAAACUAUCGGGCUUGAGUUCGGAAGAGGAGAGUGGAAUUCCUGGUGUAGCGGUGGAAUGCGCAGAUAUCAGGAGGAACACCUAUGGCGAAGGCAGCUCUCUGGUACGUAACUGACGCUGAGACGCGAAAGCGUGGGGAGCAAACAGG